This 253-nucleotide ribosomal RNA is filed under the name uncultured bacterium. Its description in RNAcentral is "partial 16S ribosomal RNA". It matches the Rfam family "Bacterial small subunit ribosomal RNA", at positions 524 to 776 of the family's 1533-position model. The record is from RNAcentral.
UACGUAGGGUGCGAGCGUUGUCCGGAAUUAUUGGGCGUAAAGGGCUCGUAGGCGGUUUGUCGCGUCGGGAGUGAAAACUCAGGGCUUAACCCUGAGCCUGCUUCCGAUACGGGCAGACUAGAGGUAUGCAGGGGAGAACGGAAUUCCUGGUGUAGCGGUGAAAUGCGCAGAUAUCAGGAGGAACACCGACGGCGAAGGCAGCACUCUGGGCCGGUACUGACGCUGAGGAGCGAAAGCAUGGGGAGCGAACAGG